GUGGCUUCUCCGGGGGCCUCGGCUAACCUGCGCACUCCCUGCAAAUCGGCCUGGGUCGGGAGCGCAUCCCGUUUCAGCCCCCGACUGCGGAGCCCCCUGGUUUGGAGCAGCGCCGAAGGACCCACCGGCCACCCUUCCCGUUAGUAACAAGCUGGAGGGAGUGAAAGGAGUCCCAUCCAUAAGCCCAACGCCACCAUCCAGAGGGCUUUACAUCAGAAAAGCACGGAUGGCAAAGCGGCACGUGGCUACUCAUUCAUUCACUCAGCAGCCAGUUUACUGAACCUUCACCAUGUGCCAAGCACUGUGCCAGGUGCUGGGGAUACAGAGCAGAGUCCAGCAGAACACUAUUCACCCUGCCCUAGGAGCUUGCAAUCUAGUGCGGGAGGCAGACGAAAAAGAAUUGAAAAAAUAAUGACAUUUGGGAUAAGGCCUGUGCAGGAAAGAAGAGGGUGCAAAUUGUGUAGUUAGCAAAGGAGGAGGUGGCAUUUAAGCUGAGCCCUAAAGUUAUGAAAGAUGCAACCAUGGGAAGAGCCAGAAAAAAGCUUUCCAGAAAGAGGGAGCAGCUGUAUGAAAGCCAGAAGGAGUGGGCAAUCUUGAUGCCUUGGAACUAAGAGGUGGUGAUUGUGAUUGGCACCAGGAGAGCAGGGGAGAAUAACAUACUGUAAGCCUGGACAGGUUGGCAGGGACCAGAUCGUGGACUACAUCCUAGUCAAUAAGCAGACCGUUUUAUUCCAAAGUCAACGGGAGGCCAUUGACUGAAUGGCUUUAUCCCAGGGCGUGACAUGAUCUGAUUUAUAUUUCUUUUGAAUUUCUUUUUUGGGAGAUAAAUGUAGAUUCACACACAUUUGUAAGAAAUAAUACAGAGGUCGUAUGUACCCCUUGCCCAGUUUCCCCCAAUGCAAAACUAGAACAAGAACACAACCAGAAUAUUGACAUCAGUAAAAUCUACCCAUCUUAGUCAGAUUUUCCUGGUUUUACUUGUACUCUGUGUGUGUGUGUGUGUGUGUAUGAUUCUGUACAAUUUUAUCACGUGGUGUAGGCUCAUGUGUCCACCAUCACAGUCAAGAUACAAAAUAGUUCCAUCAUUACAAGGAUCCAGCCCGUUGCUCCUUUAUACCCACAGCCAGCUCCUCAGCCUCCCCAGUCCUUCGCCAUUGGUGACCGUUAAUGUCUCCCAUUUCUAUAGUUUUGUCAUUUCGAGAGUUUUAUGUAAAUGAAUCAUACAGUAUGCAACCUUUGGGGAUUGGCUUUUUUCAUUCAGCUUAAUUCCCUUGAGAUUCUUCCAAGUUGUUGCAUCCAUAGUCCAUUCUUUUUUAUUGCUGAGUCGUAUUCCAGGUCUGAUUUAUAUCUUUAAGAGACCAUUGCCGCUACCAUGUGGAGAAAGGUCCAGAGGAGACUGAGAAUCGAAACAGGGGGACUAAUUAGGAGGCUUGCCCAAUAGUCCCUCUCAAAGCUGAUGGUGUACAUUAGGAUGGUGCCUGUGGAGGGAAGUGGAAAGAUUUGCUGGAACAGGUUUGAAGAGGGAAUCGGAGUUGAAGUGGAGGCAGCAUAGUGUAGACAAUUGUUUUGAGACAUUUCAUGGUGGAGGUGAAUAGAAGUGGAGCGGAAUGAGAAGGAGAAGUAGAGACAACAGGAGGUUCCUGUCUCUUUUAAUUUGGGAGAUGAGAGCCUGUUGAGGAAUAAUCAGUAGGGUGGGACUGCUGAUGAGAGAAGGGCUUACUAAAGGAGUCGAGUCCCUGCCUAGCAGAGAUGAAAUGAGAGCUGGAUUCCACGUGGAGGAUAGGCCCGCCACCUGCUGAAAGGCCUUUCACUGUAAGGACCAUGGAUGUCUAUGCUGAUCAGGGGGCCGGCUGUAUGUAUAGAUCAAGCGAAUCCAGUCUGAUGACUCCUGUUUUCGCCUGUGGUGCACAAACUGGGCACUGGCCUCGCUUAGGAGAGAGCAUAAGCCCUUGCAAAGUUCCCUCCUCUCUCCCUGGCACCAGGGGCCUGGGCCUUCCCUUUUCCCAUUCCAAGCCCUCAGCAGCAGUGAAGUUUGGUUUUGGGGGAUGGCAAGAACUUCACACUUGUGAGGAAAAGAAGAAGGCCGUGUGCCCCACCCUGAUUUCGAGAAGGCUCUGAAUGUUCAGCUCCGCUUCAGGCAACUCCCUGAAGAGAAUACCAGCCCAGUGCCCUGCCCCAAAAUAGCUAAGAAGCACCCAGAUCCCAAGAUGGAGGGCUCUGCAUGAAGGGCCCUCUCCCAGGGAACCUUCUGUCCAUCCUUUGGUGCUCAAUCGGUGUUAGUUGUGGCUCAUUGUUCACAAGAUCCCUUUCUUCCUCCCCCUUCCUUUUCCGUCUUUACUUCCCCGUCCUUUCUGCCCCCCACCUUCUUUCCCACCUCCCCCACUUCCUUCCUCUCUUCCUCCCUUUUGCAGAUAUUUCCAGUGUGUUCCUAGUAGGUUCAAGGCACGGAUCUCACCUGGCCCCUGCUUGGUUUACACCCAAGGCCAGUCCCAUCUGCCUCUUAACAGUUCAUCUCCUUGGAUUUGAACUCAACUUUUGUGGGUCAUGGAAACACAUGGUUCCACUUGAAAUAUAUGGGGGACUGUGUUGCAGACUAAGCAAAACGGAUAAAAGGAAAGAGGCUGCCCAAAUUGGGAACUUGUGUGCUACAUUCUGGUAAUGUUUUUAGCAUCUAGAAGCAAAAAGAAAUUAAAUAGACUACAAUCAGAUGGUAUGAGCUCAUAUCUGAUCUUUUUCAUUUCUGUUUGAGUAAGAAAAUAGACAUGAGGAGAGGGUCUUAGAUUUUAACAGAAUUUAAAGCACCCUUAGAAGGAAAUAUGAAGCAUUUAUCAGCAUAUAAAGUAAUCAAGGCCUUUGCCUCCUCUUCCAAAAGUACCAUGAUGACAGAUGAUUCUAAGUGAUUGAAAGUGUGUUACUUAACCAGACAUGCAUCAUUUUAUUUACUCUUCGUUUUAUUUACUCUUCCUGUCAGAUACUAUUAUCCCUACUGUACAGAUGAGAAAACUGAGGCUCAAAGAGGUUAAGUAACUUUGAGUCAGAAUUUGAAACCAAGCAACAUGGCUCCAGAGCCCACAAUGCAAACCAAUAUACUACGCUUCCAAAUUGUUCAUCACUUUUACUGCGGUCCUCCAAAGUGGCUGCUUCUUUCUGAUCAGCCCUGAGCUAACAUCUGUGCCCAUCUUCCUCUACUUUAUAUGUGGAACGCCUACCACAGCAUGGCUUGCCAAGCGGUGCCACGUCCGCACCCAGGAUCUGAACUGGCAAACCCCGGGCCGCCGAGAAGCGGAACGUGCAAACUUAGCUGCAGUGCCACUGGGCCAGCCCUGGCCUAUUUUAAAGCAAAUGUAACACAUCACAUCAUUCCAUCCAGAAAUACUUGAGUAUAUACUGCUAAAAGAGAAAGACUUUCUUCUUUUUUUAACGUAAGUGCAAUAUCAUUAUCACACCUCAAAGCCAUGAACUAAAAAUCCUUAAUAUCAAGAAAUACCCUCUCAGGAUUUAGAAUUCCCCAGAUGUCUCCCAAAUGUAUUUUACAGUUUGUCUAUUCCAACCAGGAUAUUUUUAAAGCCUCUUUUAUUAUAUUUGAUUGAUUUGUCUCUAGUUAAUGGCUCAAUGAAUGGAUGGAUGGAUGAGUGGAUGAAUGAAUCUUCCCUACCUUCUGUCACCCACACCUCCCCCAGGCAAAUUCUAUUUUACAAAGACCCAUCUAUCUCAUGCCAGAACCUGCUCGAGCUUCUCUGUGAUACCCCAGCUCAAAGUAAUCUCUCUCUUUUCCUAUAGCAUUUUUCAUAAAGAUCUCUUGCUGUUAUUACAUUUAAUCUUAUAUUAAAGAUUUUGGGAAAACACCCUAUCUCUUGUAUAAUUUUUUCAGCUCCUUGAAGUAAGUAAAAUGCCUUAAUCACUAUUGUGUAUCUAGUGGCACCGAGCACAGGACCUUGUUCAUAUUAGGCAACCAAAUAAAUUGUUUCUAAACUGAAUGGAAUUUAAUUAAAAUCAAUAUUCACAGGAUCCUUUGGCUCCCCUCAAGAUAGCCAAAGGAUCAUGAGCUUUGGAAUCUUGCAGACAUGGAUUCAAGUCUAAACUAGGCCACCUGUUGGUUGUGUGGCCCAGGGCAAGUUAUAAACUCAGCUGUCUUCAAACUUUUUCGCUGUUGACUAUAGUAAAAAUGAAAACAAGAAAAGAUUAGAAAGAAAAAAAAGUUUUGCUCACAUCCUCCCUAAAAUAAUUUUGAAAACCUGUUUACCCCUCACAUAUUGUAAAUUGAUGUCUAAACAUUUUCAUCUCGUGUUUAAAUAGUUACCUGGCAAGUUAUUUGUGGUAUUUAGUAAAUAUUGACAUUCCAAAAU
RNAcentral lists this long non-coding RNA (4346 nucleotides) under Equus caballus (horse). RNAcentral describes it as "lncRNA (ENSECAG00000050985.1)". The record is from RNAcentral. Lineage: Eukaryota; Metazoa; Chordata; Mammalia; Perissodactyla; Equidae.